This 319-nucleotide long non-coding RNA is filed under the name Cricetulus griseus (Chinese hamster). RNAcentral describes it as "lncRNA (ENSCGRG00015034078.1)". Lineage: Eukaryota; Metazoa; Chordata; Mammalia; Rodentia; Cricetidae. The record is from RNAcentral.
UGACAAAUGCCUUUUACUACUGUGCCAUCUUGCUGACUGCUCAUUGUCACUUUAAGUUUUUAAAGACUUCCGUCAGGAUUUCUUCUUACGAUUGACUUACGAAUUGCUUCAAGGAGAGCUUUAACAUCAACAGGCUUCCCUCAAGCUUUGAGAGAUACAGGGAUACCCCCUGACCACUUGGCCAUGGCAAACAAUGGACAGAGUUGCUGUGGUCAUGGUGUCUUUACACAGCAACAGAAACCUAAGCAAGACAGACAUCAACUGGUUGUGACCAGGGGACACAGAUUCUGUCUCAUGAGAGGAAGAAAUAAUCAUGAUC